UUUAUGGAGAGUUUGAUCCUGGCUCAGGAUGAACGCUGGCGGCGUGCCUAAUACAUGCAAGUCGAGCGAACGGACGAGAAGCUUGCUUCUCUGAUGUUAGCGGCGGACGGGUGAGUAACACGUGGAUAACCUACCUAUAAGACUGGGAUAACUUCGGGAAACCGGAGCUAAUACCGGAUAAUAUUUUGAACCGCAUGGUUCAAAAGUGAAAGACGGUCUUGCUGUCACUUAUAGAUGGAUCCGCGCUGCAUUAGCUAGUUGGUAAGGUAACGGCUUACCAAGGCAACGAUGCAUAGCCGACCUGAGAGGGUGAUCGGCCACACUGGAACUGAGACACGGUCCAGACUCCUACGGGAGGCAGCAGUAGGGAAUCUUCCGCAAUGGGCGAAAGCCUGACGGAGCAACGCCGCGUGAGUGAUGAAGGUCUUCGGAUCGUAAAACUCUGUUAUUAGGGAAGAACAUAUGUGUAAGUAACUGUGCACAUCUUGACGGUACCUAAUCAGAAAGCCACGGCUAACUACGUGCCAGCAGCCGCGGUAAUACGUAGGUGGCAAGCGUUAUCCGGAAUUAUUGGGCGUAAAGCGCGCGUAGGCGGUUUUUUAAGUCUGAUGUGAAAGCCCACGGCUCAACCGUGGAGGGUCAUUGGAAACUGGAAAACUUGAGUGCAGAAGAGGAAAGUGGAAUUCCAUGUGUAGCGGUGAAAUGCGCAGAGAUAUGGAGGAACACCAGUGGCGAAGGCGACUUUCUGGUCUGUAACUGACGCUGAUGUGCGAAAGCGUGGGGAUCAAACAGGAUUAGAUACCCUGGUAGUCCACGCCGUAAACGAUGAGUGCUAAGUGUUAGGGGGUUUCCGCCCCUUAGUGCUGCAGCUAACGCAUUAAGCACUCCGCCUGGGGAGUACGACCGCAAGGUUGAAACUCAAAGGAAUUGACGGGGACCCGCACAAGCGGUGGAGCAUGUGGUUUAAUUCGAAGCAACGCGAAGAACCUUACCAAAUCUUGACAUCCUUUGACAACUCUAGAGAUAGAGCCUUCCCCUUCGGGGGACAAAGUGACAGGUGGUGCAUGGUUGUCGUCAGCUCGUGUCGUGAGAUGUUGGGUUAAGUCCCGCAACGAGCGCAACCCUUAAGCUUAGUUGCCAUCAUUAAGUUGGGCACUCUAAGUUGACUGCCGGUGACAAACCGGAGGAAGGUGGGGAUGACGUCAAAUCAUCAUGCCCC
RNAcentral lists this ribosomal RNA (1219 nucleotides) under Staphylococcus aureus. Its description in RNAcentral is "bacterial SSU rRNA". It matches the Rfam family "Bacterial small subunit ribosomal RNA", at positions 1 to 1201 of the family's 1533-position model. The record is from RNAcentral. Lineage: Bacteria; Bacillati; Bacillota; Bacilli; Caryophanales; Staphylococcaceae.